UACGUAGGGGGCGAGCGUUAUCCGGAAUUAUUGGGCGUAAAGAGUACGUAGGUGGUUUUGUAAGCGUGGGGUGAAAGACCGAAGCUUAACUUCGGUUAGCCUUGCGAACUGCAGGACUUGAGUGCAGGAGAGGAAAGUGGAAUUCCUAGUGUAGCGGUGAAAUGCGUAGAUAUUAGGAGGAACACCAGUGGCGAAGGCGACUUUCUGGACUGUAACUGACACUGAAGUACGAAAGCGUGGGUAGCAAACAGGAUUAGAUACCCGGGUAGUCCCUGAGCGGGCUGGCAA
RNAcentral lists this ribosomal RNA (288 nucleotides) under uncultured prokaryote. RNAcentral describes it as "partial 16S ribosomal RNA". It matches the Rfam family "Bacterial small subunit ribosomal RNA", at positions 524 to 815 of the family's 1533-position model. The record is from RNAcentral.